GACGAACGCUGGCGGCGUGCCUAAUACAUGCAAGUUGAGCGCUGAAGGUUGGUACUUGUACCAACUGGAUGAGCAGCGAACGGGUGAGUAACGCGUGGGGAAUCUGCCUUUGAGCGGGGGACAACAUUUGGAAACGAAUGCUAAUACCGCAUAAAAACUUUAAACACAAGUUUUAAGUUUGAAAGAUGCAAUUGCAUCACUCAAAGAUGAUCCCGCGUUGUAUUAGCUAGUUGGUGAGGUAAAGGCUCACCAAGGCGAUGAUACAUAGCCGACCUGAGAGGGUGAUCGGCCACAUUGGGACUGAGACACGGCCCAAACUCCUACGGGAGGCAGCAGUAGGGAAUCUUCGGCAAUGGACGAAAGUCUGACCGAGCAACGCCGCGGGAGUGAGGAAGGUUUUCGGAUCGUAAAACUCUGUUGGUAGAGAAGAACGUUGGUGAGAGUGGAAAGCUCAUCAAGUGACGGUAACUACCCAGAAAGGGACGGCUAACUACGUG
RNAcentral lists this ribosomal RNA (497 nucleotides) under uncultured bacterium. Its description in RNAcentral is "partial 16S ribosomal RNA". It matches the Rfam family "Bacterial small subunit ribosomal RNA", at positions 28 to 507 of the family's 1533-position model. The record is from RNAcentral.